This 253-nucleotide ribosomal RNA is filed under the name uncultured bacterium. RNAcentral's name for it is "partial 16S ribosomal RNA". It matches the Rfam family "Bacterial small subunit ribosomal RNA", at positions 524 to 776 of the family's 1533-position model. The record is from RNAcentral.
UACGGGGGGAGCAAGCGUUGUUCGGAUUUACUGGGCGUAAAGGGCGCGUAGGCGGCGUAACAAGUCACUUGUGAAAUCUCCGGGCUUAACCCGGAGCGGCCAAGUGAUACUGUUGUGCUAGAGUGCAGAAGGGGCAACUGGAAUUCUCGGUGUAGCGGUGAAAUGCGUAGAUAUCUGGAGGAACACCGGUGGCGAAGGCGGCGUUCUGGACUGCAACUGACACUGAGGAACGAAAGCCAGGGGAGCAAACGGG